GAUGAAGAACGCAGCGAAAUGCGAUAAGUAGUGUGAAUUGCAGAAUUCAGUGAAUCAUCGAAUCUUUGAACGCACAUUGCGCCCCAUGGUAGUCCGUGGGGCAUGCCUGUUCGAGCGUCAUUUACCCCCUCAAGCUCCGCUUGGUGUUGGGCGUCUGUCCCGCUUCGCGCGCGGACUCGCCCCAAAGGUAUUGGCAGCGGUCGUGCCAGCUUCUCGCGCAGCACAUUGCGCUUCUCGAGGCACCGGUGGGCCCGCGUCCAUCAAGCUCACCCCCCCAGUUUGACCUCGGAUCAGGUAGGGAUACCCGCUGAACUUAAGCAUAUCAAUAAGCGGAGGA
This 337-nucleotide unclassified non-coding RNA is filed under the name soil metagenome. RNAcentral's name for it is "partial contains 5.8S ribosomal RNA, internal transcribed spacer 2, and large subunit ribosomal RNA". The stretch from base 1 to 120 matches the Rfam family "5.8S ribosomal RNA", at positions 35 to 154 of the family's 154-position model. The record is from RNAcentral.